This 113-nucleotide ribosomal RNA is filed under the name Frullania asagrayana. RNAcentral describes it as "partial 26S ribosomal RNA". It matches the Rfam family "Eukaryotic large subunit ribosomal RNA", at positions 32 to 144 of the family's 3401-position model. The record is from RNAcentral. Lineage: Eukaryota; Viridiplantae; Streptophyta; Jungermanniopsida; Porellales; Frullaniaceae.
GUUUAAGCAUAUCACUAAGCGGAGGAAAAGAAACUAACGAGGAUUUCCUUAGUAACGGCGAGCGAACCGGAAGUAGCCCAGCUUGAAAAUCGCGAGGUCUCACCGUGCGAAUU